Molecule: transfer RNA, 63 nt
Filed under: Cucujoidea sp. 39 KM-2017
Lineage: Eukaryota; Metazoa; Arthropoda; Insecta; Coleoptera
Description: tRNA-Glu
Source: RNAcentral
AUUUAUAUAGUUUAAAAUAAAACUUUACAUUUUCAUUGUAAAAAUGAAGUCUUUCUAUAAAUU